RNAcentral lists this ribosomal RNA (490 nucleotides) under uncultured bacterium. RNAcentral's name for it is "bacterial SSU rRNA". It matches the Rfam family "Bacterial small subunit ribosomal RNA", at positions 15 to 507 of the family's 1533-position model. The record is from RNAcentral.
GAUCCUAGCUCAGGAUGAACGCUAGCGGCAGGCCUAACACAUGCAAGUCGAGGGGUAGAGUUCUUCGGGACUUGAGACCGGCGCACGGGUGCGUAACGCGUAUGCAAUCUACCUUAUACAGGGGAAUAGCCCAGAGAAUUUGGAUUAAUGCCCCAUAGUGUUAUCGAAUCGCAUGGUUUGAUAACUAAAGUUCCAACGGUAUAAGAUGAGCAUGCGUCCCAUUAGUUAGUUGGUAAGGUAGCGGCUUACCAAGACAAUGAUGGGUAGGGGUCCUGAGAGGGAGAUCCCCCACACUGGUACUGAGACACGGACCAGACUCCUACGGGAGGCAGCAGUGAGGAAUAUUGGUCAAUGGGCGCAAGCCUGAACCAGCCAUGCCGCGUGCAGGAAGACGGUCCUAUGGAUUGUAAACUGCUUUUAUACAGGAAGAAACCCUCCCACGUGUGGGAGCUUGACGGUACUGUAGGAAUAAGGAUCGGCUAACUCCGUG